RNAcentral lists this ribosomal RNA (449 nucleotides) under uncultured bacterium. RNAcentral's name for it is "partial 16S ribosomal RNA". It matches the Rfam family "Bacterial small subunit ribosomal RNA", at positions 354 to 796 of the family's 1533-position model. The record is from RNAcentral.
GUGGGGAAUUUUGGACAAUGGGCGAAAGCCUGAUCCAGCCAUGCCGCGUGCAGGAUGAAGGCCUUCGGGUUGUAAACUGCUUUUGUACGGAACGAAAAGACUCUGGUUAAUACCUGGGGUCCAUGACGGUACCGUAAGAAUAAGCACCGGCUAACUACGUGCCAGCAGCCGCGGUAAUACGUAGGGUGCAAGCGUUAAUCGGAAUUACUGGGCGUAAAGCGUGCGCAGGCGGUUAUAUAAGACAGAUGUGAAAUCCCCGGGCUCAACCUGGGAACUGCAUUUGUGACUGUAUAGCUAGAGUACGGCAGAGGGGGAUGGAAUUCCGCGUGUAGCAGUGAAAUGCGUAGAUAUGCGGAGGAACACCGAUGGCGAAGGCAAUCCCCUGGGCCUGUACUGACGCUCAUGCACGAAAGCGUGGGGAGCAAACAGGAUUAGAUACCUAGUAGUCC